This 292-nucleotide ribosomal RNA is filed under the name uncultured bacterium. RNAcentral's name for it is "partial 16S ribosomal RNA". It matches the Rfam family "Bacterial small subunit ribosomal RNA", at positions 505 to 796 of the family's 1533-position model. The record is from RNAcentral.
GUGCCAGCCGCCGCGGUAAUACAGAGGUCUCGAGCGUUAAUCGGAGUCACUGGGCUUAAAGGGUGCGUAGGCGGGUCCACAAGUGCUUUGUGAAAUCCCACGGCUCAACCGUGGAAUUGCUCGGCAGACUGUGGAUCUUGAGGUCGGUAGGGGCUGCUGGAACUCUAGGUGGAGCGGUGAAAUGCGUAGAUAUCUAGAGGAACGCCAAAGGUGAAGACAGGCAGCUGGGCCGAUUCUGACGCUGAGGCACGAAAGCGUGGGUAGCAAACGGGAUUAGAAACCCCUGUAGUCC